GACGAACGCUGGCGGCGUGCCUAAUACAUGCAAGUAGAACGCUGAAGGAGGAGCUUGCUCUUCUGGAUGAGUUGCGAACGGGUGAGUAACGCGUAGGUAACCUGCCUGGUAGCGGGGGAUAACUAUUGGAAACGAUAGCUAAUACCGCAUAAAAUUGAUUAUUGCAUGAUAGUCAAUUAAAAGGUGCAAUUGCAUCACUACCAGAUGGACCUGCGUUGUAUUAGCUAGUUGGUGAGGUAACGGCUCACCAAGGCAACGAUACAUAGCCGACCUGAGAGGGGGAUCGGCCACACUGGGACUGAGACACGGCCCAGACUCCUACGGGAGGCAGCAGUAGGGAAUCUUCGGCAAUAGACGGAAGUCUGACCGAGCAACGCCGCGUGAGUGAAGAAGGUUUUCGGAUCGUAAAGCUCUGUUGUAAGAGAAGAACGAGUGUGAGAGUGGAAAGUUCACACUGUGACGGUAUCUUACCAGAAAGGGACGGCUAACUACGUG
Molecule: ribosomal RNA, 495 nt
Filed under: uncultured bacterium
Lineage: Bacteria
Description: partial 16S ribosomal RNA
Rfam family: Bacterial small subunit ribosomal RNA
Source: RNAcentral